GUCGCACCUACCGAUUGAAUGGUCCGGUGAGGCCUCGGGAUUGUGGCCUGGUAGCUUUAUUGGUACCAGGCCGUGAGAACUUGUCCAAACCUUAUCAUUUAGAGGAAGGUG
This 111-nucleotide ribosomal RNA is filed under the name uncultured eukaryote. RNAcentral's name for it is "partial small subunit ribosomal RNA". It matches the Rfam family "Eukaryotic small subunit ribosomal RNA", at positions 1675 to 1785 of the family's 1831-position model. The record is from RNAcentral.